This 2484-nucleotide long non-coding RNA is filed under the name Polistes canadensis. RNAcentral describes it as "uncharacterized LOC106787384". Lineage: Eukaryota; Metazoa; Arthropoda; Insecta; Hymenoptera; Vespidae. The record is from RNAcentral.
CGGACGAGCGAGCAACCACGGAACGGGACCCCGCGAUCCUUUUUUGACACGACGAGAAAGGAUAAGAGGAAGGAAAAAAGAGUUGCAUAGCGUAAACACGCACGAUACACGUGUAGAAUUUUUUUCUUACGAUUUAAUACCAUCGAUAUUAACACCCUCGUGAGUGAGUUUCAGAGUGAGAGGGGUACAGAGAGAGAAACAGUGCCAUAUCUCAAUUCGUCGUCGUUAAUUCAACAACAACAAAAACAACAACAACAACAACAACAGAUCUUUGUUGCAUUAAUAUUUUCCUUCGUCCCUCUGUUCGACGAAAUUUAACCGAAAAUCGUUGUUUUUGACAUUUGACAACUUGGGUUACCAGUUUGCCUAUUGAUACGGAUAUCUUGUUUGUUGUUCGGCUGCUACUACAUCGUCGAAAAAAGUGUGAAAACAGUGACGUAGAGGAGAAGAGAGAGAUAUUUUAUUGAUAGAAAAAUACGAGGAGAGGUGUUGUCCGUAAGAGGAAAAGAAACAUUAGAGGUUUUAUUUAUUUGUCACUCUGAUGACAGUAUACAGCGUUCUUUUUCUCUCUUACUCUCUAUCUCUUUCUCUCCUUGUAUGUAUGUAUCGAGCUCUUUAAAAGUAGUAAAGAAGUAUAACAAGGUCUUUCGAAACGAAGGAUAGAGAGAAAGUUAACGCAGCUGGUGGUGUUGUUAGAAAAAAUCUUCACUACUUGCUUUCUCCCCGAGUCCUUAUCGGCUGGUGAGAAUCACAAAAGAGUUUAAACAUCGACUGCUACUAUUACUACUAUUACUACUACUACUACUACUAUUACUACUUAUUUUUUUCGAAACGUAUUGCCGACCAAUCGGGCAAGGUAUUUCACGUGCGUUUAUCAGCGCCACCAACGAGGAAAAUCGAGCAGUGCUUAAGGAUCGUUCGAACGUGUCGUGUCGUGUGUUUUGAAAGAUCUAUUAAAAACGUGUUUACCGUCAAUAAAAGAAGAUUUUGUGUUCGUUCGUUCGUUCGUUAAGAAAAACUCGCCACGCGACGCGAACGCGAGUGCAUCGUGUCAACCGAUUCUUUUCAUCGGGAAGAUAAGAAACGAGAAAGAAAAAGAAAAAGAAUACUAUCCUCCAACAGGAUACCUCAGAGCAUUAUCUCGCUAUCAACUCAAAUUCCAACGCUUGUGCAGUGAUUCCAUAUUAUUAUUACGAAUAACCAAUCGAUAAUUCAUACGCGAUAUUUCUUCCUCGACAUUUCGUUAGAAAUUUGAAGACAAUCGGAUUAACGGUAAUCGCGCGACACCUGAUUUUUCCAUCACUUGGUUUGUGGUAUUGUCCCAAGGAUAUUUUCAUUUGAUCACGUGUAAUCAAAGUUUUGUGUGUCGUAGUUAAAACGAGAAAAAGUUUUGGCAUAUGGUAUAAUAAUCGUGAUAAACGACGAGUGACGUUUCGAAUAAUUAUAUAGUGGAAAAAGUGGAAGGAAGAAAGAAAUAAAGAAAGAAAUAAUAAAUCGUCGUGUUGUUGUUGUUCGAACAAUAAUAUAAUUAUCAUUGUUUAUACAAGUACAUCGAAUUUCGUGUUAAAUAACAGUUAAACGUGAUCCUCGCGAGUGUGCCAACAAUUUAGGAAAAGAAGAUCUUGGAUAAGAUACGUCGUCUCUUCUUUUUAUCUCUUUUUCUCUCUCUCUCUCACUGUCUCUCGCUCUGUCUCUCUCUCUUUCUCUCUCUCUUUUCUCUCUCUACCUCAUCUUGAUUCUUUUCGAAAUAUCAAGUGGGUAUUUAUUUACGCUUGGUGCACGCCGGUUUACAGAAGGAAACAACCGUAGCAAUCGAUUUGUAAUCCGUUAAAUCUACGUCCUUAUUCACGUGUGUGCUUUUCUGUGUGCGUGUUGAUCGUUUUGUCGUUCGAUACAUCGUUAUAAUUUCACGCUCGCUCGUUGUCCGUGUUAACGAUCGAUAGCUCGUUCGUAAUUAUCGUCGAGCCGCGCUAGCCGGAACAUCUGGUGCACCUCUCCGUCUAUCAUCGUGUCUUCGAAAACACCGGCAACCGAACGCAACGUAAAGUGAACGAACGAACGAACGAGCGAGCGAACUAACGGGCAUACAUUUAUUUUAUUCGAAUUUGCAAAUUCAAGAUUAACGCUUACCCUCGCCGAAUUUCUAACGCGCUACGCGAGUGCAGUGUGCUACGAAAUUAGACGCGAAUCGGUUCGAAUUCAGAAGUCAUCGGGACGAAUACCUGGACAUUGUCUCAUCGGUCACUCGCCAAAGGUGACCGACAGGACGCAGACUUUUUUCUUGGAAGCGGUACGCAAACGGUCUCAAGAUUCAGCUCGACACGAUGCCUUGGUUCAUCCUAUUUCUCCUGCUGUUGGCUGUGAUGGAGGCCUUCCCUCGGGAGGCCACCUGUUCCCACCUGCCGGACAUCUAUUGGAACUCCACCAAUCCAAUGCUCGUUAACGAUCACCGAGAACCAUGGAAAUGGCCAAUCACGAAUAAAG